RNAcentral lists this transfer RNA (63 nucleotides) under Siphonosoma cumanense. RNAcentral describes it as "tRNA-Lys". The record is from RNAcentral. Lineage: Eukaryota; Metazoa; Annelida; Sipuncula; Golfingiida; Sipunculidae.
UGCUUGAAAGCUUUUAGAAGCGUCGGAUUUUUAACCCGAGGAUGAGAAAUUUCUCUCAAGCAC